ACUGGAAGAAUAGGGGGUGGCCACUUACGUGUACUGUUCUCCCUCUCAGCCCCUAGUGUUUCACCUGCUGGCCAGUGUACCUAGUCUCUUCUCAUGUGGCCUCCUGGAGAUGCCUCCCCUUAUUUCUGUGCCUCUCACCUAAAAUGGUUGUCCCUAGGAGGCUACUCCCAAACAUCUACCCAAAUAAAGUAGGGCACAGGCUGCCUUGAGAGCAUCUCUUUGUUUUAUCUUCUUAGCUUAGCACUUAGCUAUACCUGAAAUUAUGGGAUUAUGGUCCUUCUCUAUGAAGAACACUUAUCAAAACCCACCUAUGUUCCCUGUGGGAUUGCUAGAACUCAUAGAACAACAUGAACAUAGAAUAGAGAGUUGCCUGAUAGCCCCAAACUGAAUGGGUAGAGAGAGAUGAAAGCAUGAAGCCAAGGGCCUCAAGAACAGGGUGUACUUCUGCAGGAAGGGGGGAAGGGAGGGUGGAUUACACAGUGACUAUGCCCCACAACAGGAGGCUUUACCCCACCACCCUGGGGAGGCCCAAGUGGAACAGCUGGAUGAAUCAGUGCACCCAUGCAGCCAGUCACCAACUACAGGAAAAACCAAUGAUCUCAAACUGGAAUCCACCCACAGCUUGCUGUCCCUGACACUCCAAGAGACCUUUAUCAGUAUUCUAUAUAGCCUUCUAAGGACAUUGUGUAUUUGGAUCUCCAGGUCUGGCUUUGAUCAAGGCAAGGCCACCCACUAGGACCCUAUUUUUCUGGUGCCUUUCUACCGUAUCUCAUUUUAAACUCUUAACAAAAAUCUUUAAGCCAUUAACCAGGAAAUCAUCAUUAAAUCAUUUGUUCAUUUUUAUUAGCAUCCCAGUAAUUAAAGAGAAUCAUAUUUCAGAAAUCUUCAGCUGCACUUAUCAAAACCCACCCUCCAACCAAUCAAUUAGUAUUACAAUAACUGAGGUCCCUCGUUGCUGCUGCUAUUAGCAUUUUGAUUGAAUGUCUGUUGAGAAGUGACUGGUAACAGAAGAUUGUGUUCAGAAAGUAAUGUUUCUUUAUUCGUUUCCACCGAACCUUGUCUGGUUGUCUCCAGUCUCGACUCAAAAGAGACAAGACAGUUUCCAAAAGCAGUCAUUUUGGUGGUGGAUUAUAUUUUCAUGAGGUGUGUGAUAAAUUGGGCCUAAUCACUCCAGAAUCGCCAGCUACACACAGAGGCCUCCCACUGGCUACAGCACCCAGGAGCUGGGCUGGCUGUUGGCCCUACAGGAUGAGGUCCCUCUGCCACCUUGCUCUCCACCGAGAUCAUCCAGGACCAAGAUCAUCCAGGACCGUAAACACCAGAUCGUUCACAAAUGGCCCUUCAGGCAACUCAGAUCUAAUAAUGCCUGUGCCAGAGUGGCCCAUGGCUGUUGUUAUUCACAGGGAAGAUCAUCAUUAUUAUACACCCCCUCUCUGCCAAGCACUUGGGAAACCUGUUAUUCUAACAUUCAGACUUAAGUUCUCCAGUCGUCAUCAUAAUAAUAAAAGCACCAGUCAGUGCAGAGAUGGGUUAACAAGCUCCAUUAUAGGGACAGAAAGGCUGUCUUCUCCAAGCCACAGUAAUUAACAAGAGUUCAUUAAAAUCAACAGCCUGUUCCUUCACAGCUCUAUUUACUGUUGCUCCCCCUGCCUGCCCCAUCACUGAGGCCUUUUGUGGAGACCUCCAGACACACAAUGCCAUCAAGCCAACAGAAAGGUUUCAAUCUUCCUCUAGUAAGUUAGUCAUAGCAGCUGUGGGAACUAAAGGAGAUUGUACUCUGACUUGUCCUGAACAGAAGUAAGGUAGGGGACAGAAACUGGUAUGUGUCUAGGGUGGGAAGGCUAUGUGUUCCCAACUAUAGAUAUGGUAGCUGGCUACAUCUAUGCAUCAGCCUGUUCCUAUAUCUACCCACCCAUCCACUACCAAUCUGCAGAAAAAGCCCAAGCUUCACGUUCAGUGCAUAUGACCUUGGUGCAAGGAACCUGUCCCUAUUCCAAUGGCAGGGCUGUAUUAAUGCUUCAUUAAAAACUAAAAUUAAAGGCUUCCAGAAUUCAGAGUAAAAAAAAAAAAAACUAAGCUAAAAAGUGCUGUUUCCUGUUUGAAAAAAAAAAAAUCUCUUCUCUAAACUCAAGUCUCCUUUUUCUCCUCCUCGGCUCUUGUUUCUCCCCUGGCUGCCAGCCAAGAUUUUAUAAUAGUGUCAGGUAGCAAUUUCAUUUUUAAAAUGCUCUUAUCAAGGAUUUAAGGUGAAAGAUAAGAACAGCACAGUAAAUCUUCAUAAAGGAGUGCAGUAUGAGGCAUAGUAUUUUACAAAUCAAAACAGUUAAACGAAAUGAAAAGGCAAGGACAGGGAAACAAAGUGAGUUGAACAGGGGCUGGAAGGGGGAGGGGAGAGGCCAAGUUAAAUAGAAAGAUCAUCCUUCAGAUCUCCCAGCUCCCUUUGGUAAUGGUCUUGGCAUAUUUGCUAAGAAUUGCAUGAACACUCCAAUUUCCAUUUUAAAAUAGCAUGUUUUUAGAAGGCAUAUAUAUUGUCAAACCAUUACACACACUUAACCGAGGGUUUUCAACCAAGUCAUCUGACCUGUAAGCAUGUGUUGCUAAUAUCACUGCUUUAUAAUUUAUCAAAUCAAUUUCUUCAUGGAAUGACUAAUAACACAUCCACAGCUGCUCUCCUCUUCCCUCCCCAGCUGCUCCCACCCCAAGAGCUGCAGCAACAUGCGCUGGGCUACCUGCGGUGCCUCAGCUCCUUCCCACCUCUACUACACACACUCCGCUAAAGAACAUUAUAGAAACAUAAGAAAGGAGGUGAGCCCAGGAGGUGCCACUAAUGACCAAACUACUUUGUAGAGGCCGCUUUGUUAUUUACUACCCAGGAAAAGUUAGCAACACAGCUAAUGACCAGGCUAGGGCUCUUUAUUUUAUGAGGAAAGAGGAAAGAUUUUAAUUAGCCUCACAAUCAAGAAACUACAACCUAUGUUAAGACAGGAACAUAUAUUUCCUUUCUUCUUUCCACCCUCAUAACAACUUGAUUCCAGUGAAUUUUUUAAAACAAUCAACCAAGGGCCACAGCCAACUCUUGCCUACAUACAAACAUACCCAGACACACAUCCCUUACACAUAUACACAUAAUACAUAUAGGGCUGGAAUACAAUCCCAAAGUGGCAACAAAAAUUUAAAACUUGUGAAAAUAAACUCAGUACAGUUCAAUUUAGCUCUUUACAAACACUGUCAAUCUCCCUGGGACCUACCUUACAAGUGCACAACAAAUAAAAACAUACAAUUAGAUGAUUGCUUAUUUGUCAAGGAAUGAUUCAAUUGUCCAUUAAAGGCUGGAGUUCUAAAAAUAAUUUAAAGACACACAGCUCUGUUGUAAAACAGAUUAGCACUAUGGGCAAAAUACAAAGCUUCCUUUGUAAAUCCUACCUACUUUUUUUUUUAAAGAUAAGACAAUAGAAUGGGUGAGAGGCCAGUUAAAGCAUAAUUUUCAGAGUGUGUUUUCUUGUUGUCAGUCAGAAAAAUUAUCAGAUGUUUGUUUACACAGCAGUUUAUAAAUAAAUAUAGUAGUCGAAUCAAGAGAUCUCUUUCCACGACAAAUGAAAUCAUCUUAACUAAAAGGAAACUUCAGGUGCCUAAGACAGAAAAUUUUGGAGGUUGGAAGGUAACACAACUCUCAGUGCAAUACCUUACUGGGAAGGAAAUGCACAGGUGGUGUAGAUCUUCAGCAGAUGCCUGACUAAGUCAACCAUCUUCUUUUACCUUGGCUGUAUGUGGCAGCUACAAAGGUACUAAUGGCAUUUGUUCUUCCUUUUUAGCAAGCAAGAUCUCUCAAAAGUCUGCUUGGGUCCCUCAGGUGCCAGAGCUCAAAGUGAGAAGAGACUACCAUCCUGAGAUCCUAGACACAGGUCAGGACCAAGGAUCUGUUCCAGAGAAGAGAUGGCAGCUGUGCCUCAGUGGACUAUAAGGCUAGAAGCGUCUUUUGUGAUGACAUGACCUAGGCAAAGGCUCCCAGCCCUGGCUGCAUAUUAACAUCUGCUGGGAGAAUUUCAAGAUAAUCAAUGCCAUGGGCUCCAUCUGGGUCUCACUUAACUGACCUGGGGUGGGGCCCAGGCAACUGUGUGGUUUAAAAACUCCCCAGGUGAUUCGAAUGUUAAGAACCACUGGUCUGGGGCUGGGGAUAUGGCCUAGUGGCAAGAGUGCUUGCCUCAUAUACAUGA
This is a long non-coding RNA of Perognathus longimembris pacificus (Pacific pocket mouse), 4211 nucleotides long. RefSeq lists it as uncharacterized. The record is from RefSeq and is a predicted model, not a curated record. Lineage: Eukaryota; Metazoa; Chordata; Mammalia; Rodentia; Heteromyidae. The transcript has 3 exons.